RNAcentral lists this ribosomal RNA (505 nucleotides) under uncultured bacterium. RNAcentral describes it as "partial 16S ribosomal RNA". It matches the Rfam family "Bacterial small subunit ribosomal RNA", at positions 28 to 507 of the family's 1533-position model. The record is from RNAcentral.
GACGAACGCUGGCGGCGUGCCUAAUACAUGCAAGUAGAACGCACAGUUUAUACCGUAGCUUGCUACACCAUAGACUGUGAGUUGCGAACGGGUGAGUAACGCGUAGGUAACCUGCCUGGUAGCGGGGGAUAACUAUUGGAAACGAUAGCUAAUACCGCAUAAUAUUGAUUAUUGCAUGAUAAUUAAUUGAAAGGUGCAAUUGCACCACUACCAGAUGGACCUGCGUUGUAUUAGCUAGUAGGUGAGGUAACGGCUCACCUAGGCGACGAUACAUAGCCGACCUGAGAGGGUGAUCGGCCACACUGGGACUGAGACACGGCCCAGACUCCUACGGGAGGCAGCAGUAGGGAAUCUUCGGCAAUGGACGAAAGUCUGACCGAGCAACGCCGCGUGAGUGAAGAAGGUUUUCGGAUCGUAAAGCUCUGUUGUAAGGGAAGAACGGGUGUGAGAGUGGAAAGUUCACACUGUGACGGUAUCUUACCAGAAAGGGACGGCUAACUACGUG